ACUUUGGAGGUAUCAGAAGUGAGAAUGCAGGAAUAAGUAGCGAGAAAGGGGGCGAGAAUCCCCCUCGCCGGAAGACCAAGGUUUUCAGGGUAAAGCUUGUCUUCCCUGAGUAAGCCGGGACCUAAGCCCAGGCUAUAAUGCGUAGGCGAAUGGAAAACAGAUUAAUAUUUCUGUGCCAGUCAUUUAUUGUGAUGGAGGGACGCAGAAGGGUAUGUGCGCGGACGAUCGGUUGUGUCCGUAGAAGUAUGUAGGGUGACUUAGUAGGUAAAUCCAUUAAGUUAUAUCUGAGGUAUGAUAUACAGUCGUAAGAUGAAUGCGCAAAUCCCACGCUGCCAAGAAAAGCUUCUAACGUUAAUAUAUGACUGCCCGUACUGUAAACCGACACAGGUGGUCAGGAUGAGAAAUCUAAGGCGGACAGGCUAACUCUCGUUAAGGAACUCUGCAAAAUAACCUCGUAACUUCGGGAGAAGAGGAGCCCUUGUGUGUGAGUAUACACGCGAUACAAAGCGCACGAGGGUCGCAGUGAAGAGGCUCAAGCAACUGUUUAACAAAAACACAGGUCUAUGCUAAGCUGUAAGGCGAUGUAUAUGGGCUGACACCUGCCCAGUGCUGGAAGGUUAAGAGGAGGAGUGAGAGCUCCGAAUUGAAGCCCCAGUGAACGGCGGCCGUAACUAUAACGGUCCUAAGGUAGCGAAAUUCCUUGUCGGGUAAGUUCCGACCUGCACGAAUGGUGUAAUGAUUUGAGCGCUGUCUUGACGGGAGGCCUGGUGAAAUUGUAUUACCGGUGAAGAUACCGGUUACCUACAGUAGGACGGAAAGACCCCAUGGAGCUUUACUGUAGCUUGGUAUUGGGUUUUGGCAUUGCAUGUAUAGGAUAGUUGGGAGACUAUGAUGGUAUGGCGCUAGCUGUAUCGGAGUCAUCGGUGGAAUACCAACCAUUCAAUGCUGAAAUUCUAAUCUGUGGUUUGUAGCCACGGAGACAGUGCUAGGUGGGCAGUUUGACUGGGGCGGUCGCCUCCGAAAGAGUAACGGAGGCGUUCAAAGGUUCUCUCAGGUUGGAUGGAAAUCAACCAUAGAGUGCAAUGGCAUAAGAGAGCUUGACUGCAAGACUGACGGGUCGAGCAGAUGCGAAAGCAGGACAUAGUGAUCCGGCGAUUCCGAAUGGAAGGGUCGUCGCUCAACGGAUAAAAGCUACCCUGGGGAUAACAGGCUGAUCCUACCCGAGAGUCCAUAUCGACGGUAGGGUUUGGCACCUCGAUGUCGGCUCAUCGCAUCCUGGGGCUGGAGAAGGUCCCAAGGGUUGGGCUGUUCGCCCAUUAAAGCGGUACGUGAGCUGGGUUCAGAACGUCGUGAGACAGUUCGGUCCCUAUCCACUGUAGGCGUUAGAAUAUUGAGAAGACCUGUCCUUAGUACGAGAGGACCGGGAUGGACAAACCUCUGAUGUACCAGUUGUCACGCCAGUGGCACAGCUGGGUAGUCACGUUUGGAAUAGAUAAUCGCUGAAAGCAUCUAAGCGAGAAACUAACUUCAAGAUAAGUAUUCUUUAAGAUACCUUUGAGACUAGGAGGUUGAUAGGUUGGGGGUGUAAGUACAGCAAUGUAUUUAGCUGACCAAUACUAAUUAUCAAAGUUUUAAUCUA
This 1639-nucleotide ribosomal RNA is filed under the name human oral metagenome. RNAcentral's name for it is "bacterial LSU rRNA". It matches the Rfam family "Bacterial large subunit ribosomal RNA", at positions 1270 to 2925 of the family's 2925-position model. The record is from RNAcentral.